GAGGUCCAGUCUCGCUGCUGGUGAGCAGCCAACCCAGGAACGCUGGCUUUCGUGCCUCUGGCCUGGAAUCACAUGUAACCAAAGCCAUAUGUUCAACUUGGAUUAAUUAAACCGAGGCCUCAGAACAUUUCUGCUGCUGCUUCUGAUGCUUUUGCAUUAUACUAUUUUAACAUUU
Long non-coding RNA from Mustela lutreola (European mink), 175 nucleotides. RefSeq lists it as uncharacterized. The transcript has 2 exons. Lineage: Eukaryota; Metazoa; Chordata; Mammalia; Carnivora; Mustelidae. The record is from RefSeq and is a predicted model, not a curated record.